RNAcentral lists this ribosomal RNA (540 nucleotides) under uncultured bacterium. RNAcentral describes it as "bacterial SSU rRNA". It matches the Rfam family "Bacterial small subunit ribosomal RNA", at positions 355 to 896 of the family's 1533-position model. The record is from RNAcentral.
UGAGGAAUAUUGGUCAAUGGACGGAAGUCUGAACCAGCCAAGUAGCGUGCAGGAUGACGGCCCUAUGGGUUGUAAACUGCUUUUGUAUGGGGAUAAAGUUAGGGACGUGUCCCUAUUUGCAGGUACCAUAUGAAUAAGGACCGGCUAAUUCCGUGCCAGCAGCCGCGGUAAUACGGAAGGUUCAGGCGUUAUCCGGAUUUAUUGGGUUUAAAGGGAGCGUAGGCUGGAGAUUAAGUGUGUUGUGAAAUGUAGACGCUCAACGUCUGACUUGCAGCGCAUACUGGUUUCCUUGAGUACGCACAACGUUGGCGGAAUUCGUCGUGUAGCGGUGAAAUGCUUAGAUAUGACGAAGAACUCCGAUUGCGAAGGCAGCUGACGGGAGCGCAACUGACGCUUAAGCUCGAAGGUGCGGGUAUCAAACAGGAUUAGAUACCCUGGUAGUCCGCACAGUAAACGAUGGAUGCCCGCUGUUGGUACCUGGUAUCAGCGGCUAAGCGAAAGCAUUAAGCAUCCCACCUGGGGAGUACGCCGGCNACGGUG